RNAcentral lists this ribosomal RNA (402 nucleotides) under uncultured Sharpea sp. RNAcentral's name for it is "bacterial SSU rRNA". It matches the Rfam family "Bacterial small subunit ribosomal RNA", at positions 338 to 752 of the family's 1533-position model. Lineage: Bacteria; Bacillati; Bacillota; Erysipelotrichia; Erysipelotrichales; Coprobacillaceae. The record is from RNAcentral.
CCUACGGGAGGCAGCAGUGGGGAAUAUUGCACAAUGGGCGAAAGCCUGAUGCAGCAACGCCGCGUGAGGGAUGACGGCCUUCGGGUUGUAAACCUCUUUUAGUAGGGAAGAAGCGAAAGUGACGGUACCUGCAGAAAAAGCACCGGCUAACUACGUGCCAGCAGCCGCGGUAAUACGUAGGGUGCAAGCGUUGUCCGGAAUUAUUGGGCGUAAAGAGCUCGUAGGCGGUUUGUCGCGUCUGCUGUGAAAUCUGGGGGCUCAACCCCCAGCCUGCAGUGGGUACGGGCAGACUAGAGUGCGGUAGGGGAGAUUGGAAUUCCUGGUGUAGCGGUGGAAUGCGCAGAUAUCAGGAGGAACACCGAUGGCGAAGGCAGAUCUCUGGGUCCCUACCGACGCUGGGGU